This is a long non-coding RNA of Salarias fasciatus (jewelled blenny), 310 nucleotides long. RefSeq lists it as uncharacterized. The transcript has 3 exons. The record is from RefSeq and is a predicted model, not a curated record. NCBI's taxonomy places the organism in Eukaryota, Metazoa, Chordata, Actinopteri, Blenniiformes, Blenniidae.
CACACGCAGAGCCGGCAUGUCUGCUAUGAACUCUGUGGUUCAGCCGUACUAAUUUGAUCCAGAGUCUGACCCAGAAGGAGAGGCCCCUGAAGAAAUCCAAACUCUGCGGCUGCAGCAGGACGUUUCUGAAUGGUGCAGCUGUGGAAACUGAGCUACCAUGCCCACAGAAGCUGAGAAUAUCUGCUGUUUGGAGAUACCACAGGUCACCAGACGGCUGCGGGAGGUGGAGGAGCAGCCGUCCUGUAUGGUGGACCAUCCUGGGUUGGAGCCUGUUUGCCUCAGUGUGUACUCUCUGCAGAAAGCCUGCCAG